Molecule: ribosomal RNA, 438 nt
Filed under: uncultured fungus
Lineage: Eukaryota; Fungi
Description: LSU rRNA
Rfam family: Eukaryotic large subunit ribosomal RNA
Source: RNAcentral
UUUGAAAUCUGCCGCAAGGCCGAGUUGUAAUUUCGUAGAAGAUGCUUUGGGUAUGGCCCCGGUCUAAGUUCGUUGGAACACGACGUCAUAGAGGGUGAGAAUCCCGUAUGUGACUGGGUGCUUUUGCCUAUGUAAAGCUCUUUCGACGAGUCGAGUUGUUUGGGAAUGCAGCUCAAAAUGGGUGGUAUAUUUCAUCUAAAGCUAAAUAUUGGCCAGAGACCGAUAGCGCACAAGUAGAGUGAUCGAAAGAUGAAAAGCACUUUGGAAAGAGAGUUAAACAGUACGUGAAAUUGUUGAAAGGGAAGCGCUUGCAACCAGACUUGCACGCUGUUGAUCAUCCAGGCUUCUGUUUGGUGCACUCAACUGCGUUCAGGCCAGCAUCGGUUUUGGUGGUGGGAUAAAGGCCUUGGGAAUGUAGCUUCUUUCGGGGAGUGUUAU